CGCUUGUCAGUGCUGUGCGCUCUGGAGGUUGCCGGGCUGGCUCGCCGGUGCACUUUCUCGGAGUGGUCACCACGACCGGCGUUGUUGUCUUACUGCUGUAGUCAAACCGGUCAGGUUUGGUCCUUGUGGCUGAGCUUGAUCGGGACGGCAGGUAGCUCAUUGGUUGGCUUGUCCAGUCUUUGGGUGUAAUCAGCUGACUGCAGUAGUUCUGUGCAAUACGUCGGAGACGGCGGCUCGAGGUAUUU
Molecule: ribosomal RNA, 245 nt
Filed under: Alaria alata
Lineage: Eukaryota; Metazoa; Platyhelminthes; Trematoda; Diplostomida; Diplostomidae
Description: partial 28S ribosomal RNA
Source: RNAcentral